This 1847-nucleotide long non-coding RNA is filed under the name Homo sapiens (human). RNAcentral describes it as "non-protein coding lnc-SLC44A3-1:2". Lineage: Eukaryota; Metazoa; Chordata; Mammalia; Primates; Hominidae. The record is from RNAcentral.
CAGGCAUCCUCCGCGGCGGGCCGGACCGGGCCGGCGGAGGGGAGCGGAAGCCCACCGGGGCUGGCCCGCCGCUGACCCGCCGCCUCCGUCUGCCUCCUCCCGGGCUCUGGGCCCAGCGCGCCCAGAUGCCGGGCAGGACCCCUCCGCCCGCUGCUGGAACACCAAUAGCAGCGUUGGAGCCUCUGGGCCGGAGGAACUGGGGCCUCCACCGACACCUGCUUCUUCCCUCACCUCGCAGCCUUCCACACCUGUUGAUCUGACCUCUGCCCCGCUGCCGCCCAGGAGUAACCUAAGGCUUUUGGCCUGAUUCGAGCUCACUCCGUCUAAACCUCUAAAUGCGGUGCGAAAAAAUCCUGGGGAAUGUGCCAUGCAAAGCCUGGGCAUUUCAAGUGCUUUUCUGGAUUCGCAUCAACUCCUCUUUACAGGCAUCUUUAUCCGGAAUUCAGCUCGUCCCAAACCCCACGUGGUGUAGCUCUGCUUGUGUUUUUGAAUCCCGGGGCCUCUUUGAAUCAGAAGCCCUUUGUAUAGAGAUAAGUAUCCUUUAGGCCAGAAUCAGCCUCCAUUUUUUUCGCAGUCCCAUUUCCUACCCGUAAUACUUUCUUCUGAUUUUAAAGCCAUUUGAUAGAGAAGGGACAGGGAACAGAACCUUCGCCCCCCGCCUGAGCAGCUGGUAGACUAGAUAUCUUCCAAACAUUAUCUCAUUUACUUCCCUGGAGUUACAAAUAGGUAGAUUUCAUGUCCGUUGAGGGGUGAGAAAGCUGAAACUUUGAGACUUAAGAAUCCUGGCCGAGGUCAGCCUCCUCCGAAGCUUCAUCUCUUGCCACCACUUUCUGGUGCACACCUAGGACAGAUUUCAAUCCCUGAGAUCCCAGGAUGAAACCUAUGUUUGCCAAAUACCAGCUACUGUGCCAGAAGAGAUCAUGGAACCAGGUGUGGAAAGCUGCUUGAGAAGAGGAGCCAAAACAUCAUAGUUGAACCGUCCUGGAAUAGAAACUCGCCCUGAAUUCUUUCUUGUGUGAAAUCCAAGAGCCCUCUCUUGGGGUUGGAUCGGGACCCUGUUCCUGUAACAAGUCCACAAUGCCAGAGAAUUAAAGAGAACCACAAAGCUGAACCUCAAAAAGUUAGCCUGGCGAGGGGAGGAUGAUGAGAUUUCCCCUGUUGUCACAUAAACAAGGAAGUAAAGGGGGCCCCUUGUGCUCUCAGAACUCCAAGCAUGAAACGAUUUUCUGCCAUUUCAGUUCCUGUUAUCGUGCUUUGAGGUGCACUGAACUGCAGCAAACCCAGGGGAUCCAAGGCUACGUUGAAAAGCCUUUGACCACAGUGCAGGGAGCAGAAGACAUUAAUGACGUGAUGUCGACACAGCCCGCACUCAGGAUCCUCCAGGAAAAGAACACAGAGAUAACCCCGGAUCGAUGGUACUUUUUGAAAAUGCUUUAUUGCAAAAGAGUGGCUAGGGUUUUACAAGGGCUAUGAAGAAACAUAUUAAGGUUAAUAAAGCUUUUUAUUGAGUGUUUACUGAGUGUUACUAUGUGCUUUACAUCUAUUAACUCAUUUCAUCUUCAAAACAACCCUAUAAAGAUGUUACAACUAUAAUCCUAACCUUACAAAUGAAACAACUGAGGCACAGUGAAGUGCAGUGGCCUGCCCAGGUAAAAAGCAAGACAGAAUUUGAACCCAGGCAGCCUGACCCCAGGGUCCAGGUAUUAAACCAUUCUGCUAUAGUGCCUCUAAGAUAACAGAGAAACUUGAUGAAUUACUGGGUUACUGAAUUUUAGUUUACAUAGGUUGUUUUUUUCCCCUUAAGAGUAGAACAAAACAUACCUGAAGUAUGGAAAAUAACAUUUAUU